Molecule: transfer RNA, 73 nt
Filed under: Anaerolineales bacterium
Lineage: Bacteria; Bacillati; Chloroflexota; Anaerolineae; Anaerolineales
Description: tRNA-Ile
Rfam family: tRNA
About the family: Transfer RNA (tRNA) molecules are approximately 80 nucleotides in length. Their secondary structure includes four short double-helical elements and three loops (D, anti-codon, and T loops).
Source: RNAcentral
GGGCCCGUAGCUCAGUGGUUAGAGCAGCCGGCUCAUAACCGGUCGGUCGCAGGUUCGAAUCCUGCCGGGCCCA